AAAAACUUGUAUUCAGAUAAAAGCACAAAGGCAACAAGAACUAGAAAACAUCAGAUUCAGAGAAAAUAAAACAACAGGCAAGCAAAAUAAAUCCUAAGUGCCUAAGGGUUCGGAGGCGGAGGCAUUCUCUGAAGCAACAUAGCAAGCAUGUUCUGGAUGUUGUCGUUGACAGUAUCUUGCUUGUCCAUUCUGGCCCGGAGUUCAUUCUGAUCUUGCUUAAGUUCUUUCAGAGUCUGAAG
RNAcentral lists this long non-coding RNA (239 nucleotides) under Lathyrus oleraceus (garden pea). RNAcentral describes it as "Pisum sativum (pea) long non-coding RNA (PSAT_LNC001157)". Lineage: Eukaryota; Viridiplantae; Streptophyta; Magnoliopsida; Fabales; Fabaceae. The record is from RNAcentral.